UACGAAGGGGGCUAGCGUUGCUCGGAAUUACUGGGCGUAAAGCGUGCGCAGGCGGUUUUGUAAGCCAGAUGUGAGAGCCCCGGGCUUAACCUGGGAAUGGCAUUUGGGACUGCAAGGCUUGAGUGCGGCAGAGGAGACUGGAAUUCCUGGUGUAGCAGUGAAAUGCGUAGAUAUCAGGAGGAACAUCGGUGGCGAAGGCGGCAUCCUGGACCGGUAUUGACGCUGAGGCGCGAAAGCCAGGGGAGCAAACGGG
Molecule: ribosomal RNA, 253 nt
Filed under: uncultured bacterium
Lineage: Bacteria
Description: partial 16S ribosomal RNA
Rfam family: Bacterial small subunit ribosomal RNA
Source: RNAcentral